RNAcentral lists this long non-coding RNA (507 nucleotides) under Salvia miltiorrhiza (redroot sage). Its description in RNAcentral is "long non-coding RNA (SMIL_LNC008952)". Lineage: Eukaryota; Viridiplantae; Streptophyta; Magnoliopsida; Lamiales; Lamiaceae. The record is from RNAcentral.
UUCCUCAACACCGGUGAGGCUGCUGCCACCGGCGGCGCAGCCAUCACCAUCAUUCAAACAAUCAACAAAAUGUGUUUUCCCCAAAUUCAAGAAAUUCAAACAAGUGCUUGAACGGCCGACCAACAAAUUCAAGAAAUUCAAAAAGCAGACCAACAAAUUCAAGAAAUUCUCCAACUAAAAGGCGCCUGAAAACCCUAGGCCGCAAAUCACAACCGCACUCUUCUUAGAUUUCUAGCGAUUUUCUCCUGAAAACCCUAGGCCUAGGGUAACAUAAUCCUUUCCGGCGAUUUCCGCCUGAUAACCCUAGAGCUCGUUGUGCUGUGCGAGAUGAGGAUGGAGUGCUGGUGCAAGCUAGAGCUCGUUGUUUUCAUGAGGCUUUUAUCGUGGAUAAAAAGUUUAGGCCUUGGUCAAGUGGUGUUUCAUAUGGACAGCAAGAUCGUGAUGGAUGUUGUCAAUUCCUCGAAUAUGAGAAGGUCUGUGUUAUUGAAGGAAUCAUAAAAACAUGUA